CUGGCUCAGGAUGAACGCUGGCGGCGUGCCUAACACAUGCAAGUCGAACGAAGGUAUAUAUAGGAAGUCUUCGGAUGGAAUAUGUAUAACUUAGUGGCGGACGGGUGAGUAACGCGUAAGUAAUCAACCUGUGACACACGGAUAACUGAUAGAAAUGUCAGCUAAUACGAGAUGAACUGUUUAAAUUGGGAAAUGGAAACAGCAAAGCGAAAGCGGUCACAGACGAGCUUGCGUCUGAU
RNAcentral lists this ribosomal RNA (239 nucleotides) under [Eubacterium] yurii. RNAcentral's name for it is "16S rRNA. Bacterial SSU". It matches the Rfam family "Bacterial small subunit ribosomal RNA", at positions 19 to 241 of the family's 1533-position model. The record is from RNAcentral. Lineage: Bacteria; Bacillati; Bacillota; Clostridia; Peptostreptococcales; Filifactoraceae.